RNAcentral lists this long non-coding RNA (243 nucleotides) under Hordeum vulgare. RNAcentral's name for it is "long non-coding RNA (HVUL_LNC002941)". Lineage: Eukaryota; Viridiplantae; Streptophyta; Magnoliopsida; Poales; Poaceae. The record is from RNAcentral.
GACCAAGCAGGCCAAGCAGACGCAGCAACCGCCUCCCGACGCGUCCGUCGUCCGUCGCCGAAGAGGGCGACCAAGCAGGCCAAGCAGACGCAGCAGCCGCCGCCGCCUCCCGACGCGUCCGUUGUCCGCCACCGAAGAGGGCGACCAAGCAGACGCAGCAGCAGCCGCCGCCGCCUCCCGACGCGUCCGUCGUCUGCCGCCGAAGAGGGCGACCAAGCAGGCCAAGAAGACGUAGCAGCCGCC